CAAUAGUGUAUAUUAAAGUUGUUGCGGUAAAAAAGCUCGUAGUUGGAUUUCUACCGAAGAUAGCCGGUCGGGUCUUCGACCUUGUAUCUGGUUUUGUCUUUGGUAUCCUCAUAGGGAACGUUUCUGCGCUUUAUUGCGUGGUGCGGUAUCUAUGACUUUUACUUUGAGGAAAUUAGAGUGUUCACGGCAGGCAAACGCCUUGAAUAUAUUAGCAUGGAAUAAUAACAUAGGAUCUUCGUCCUAUUUUGUUGGUUUCUAGGGCUAAGAUAAUGAUUAAUAGGGAUAAUUGGGGGCAUCUGUAUCAACGCGUCAGAGGUGGAAUUCUUGGAUUGCGUUGCGACAAACUACUGCGAAAGCAUUUGCCAAGGAUGUUUUCAUUGA
Molecule: ribosomal RNA, 381 nt
Filed under: uncultured eukaryote
Lineage: Eukaryota
Description: partial 18S ribosomal RNA
Rfam family: Eukaryotic small subunit ribosomal RNA
Source: RNAcentral